This 135-nucleotide non-coding RNA is filed under the name Desulfovibrio sp. RNAcentral's name for it is "TPP sequence". It matches the Rfam family "TPP riboswitch aptamer (THI element)". Rfam says of the family: Vitamin B(1) in its active form thiamin pyrophosphate (TPP) is an essential coenzyme that is synthesised by coupling of pyrimidine and thiazole moieties in bacteria. The previously detected thiamin-regulatory element, thi box was extended, resulting in a new, highly conserved RNA secondary structure, the THI element, which is widely distributed in eubacteria and also occurs in some archaea. Analysis of operon structures identified a large number of new candidate thiamin-regulated genes, mostly transporters, in various prokaryotic organisms. The record is from RNAcentral. Lineage: Bacteria; Pseudomonadati; Thermodesulfobacteriota; Desulfovibrionia; Desulfovibrionales; Desulfovibrionaceae. RNAcentral also lists the same sequence under 1 other name.
GACGAGAGCUAGGGGAGCCGCGCGGGAUGUGUUUUGCGAAAACACGUCCAGGGCGGCUGAGAGUGGGGAAUCAGCCCCAGACCCUGUGAACCUGACGCAGUUCGCACUGCCGGAGGGAAGCUGCAGCCGCACCCG